AGUGUGAAAUACAUGGGAAAUUUGUCUGAAAUGGAUAAUUCUUAUGUUAAUGUCAUUAUUUUGUAGGGGAAGACAGAUAUUCUGGAAUCAAUGAGUCAUAAUUUGUUACAAAGCAUCAUUUUAAAGAGAAUGUGUCUUCUUUUGGGGAUGAAAACCAGUAAUUUAGGGAGAAAUUGCUAUUUGUAGGGAUGAAAAGCAUUAGUUUGGGAUGAAAACCAGUAAUUUAGGGAGAAAGUGCUAUUUGUAGGGAUGAAAAGCGUUAGUUUGGGAGGAAGAAACCAUAGUUUUGCAAGGAUGAAGAGUGAUACCUAAGAGUGUACUUUUCAUUUCUGGGAUAAGUAUUGAUAUUCAUGUGACCUACUUCUAAAAUUUGUCAGAAAUGGAUAUUUCUGUUGGAAAUGUCAUUCUUUUUUAGAUGAAAAGAGUUUAUCUGGAAACAAUGUGUCAUAUUUGGCUACAAACGAUAAUUUUGUAGAGAAAUCCAUUUCUUUUGGUGAUGAAAACCAGUAUUUCUGGGAAACAACGCUAUUUUAAAGGGAAAAAAAGCAUAAUUUUGGUGAGAAAUCCCUUUUUUUGCAAGGAUAAAGAAUGAUUCUUAGGAGAGAACUUUUUAUUUCUGGGAUAGGUACUGAUAUUUGUGUGACUGACAUUCUUCUAAAAUUUGUCAGAAAUCGAUAUUUCUGUUGGAAAUGUCCUUAUUUUGAAGAGGGAAAGAGGUAUUCCAAUAACAGUGUUUCAUAUGUUGCUACAGGGGACCAUUUGUAGAGAAAACGAUUUCUAUUGGGAUGAAAACCACUUUUUUGGGUAGAAAAUGCUACUUGUAAUGAUGAAAAGCUUUGUAUGGUAAGAAAAUGAAUUUUUUGCAAGAUUCAAGAGUGAUACCUAAGAGAGAAGACAUUUUUUUCUGGUGUAAGUCUUGAUAUUAGUGUGAAAUACAUCGGAAAUUUGUCUGAAAUGGAUAAUUCUUAUGUUAAUUCAUUAUUUUGUAGGGGAAGACAGAUAUUCUGGAAUCAAUGUAGUCAUAAUUU
RNAcentral lists this long non-coding RNA (1028 nucleotides) under Coturnix japonica (Japanese quail). RNAcentral describes it as "lncRNA (ENSCJPG00005007627.1)". Lineage: Eukaryota; Metazoa; Chordata; Aves; Galliformes; Phasianidae. The record is from RNAcentral.